Long non-coding RNA from Prinia subflava (tawny-flanked prinia), 5813 nucleotides. RefSeq lists it as uncharacterized. The transcript is spliced from 3 exons. The record is from RefSeq and is a predicted model, not a curated record. NCBI's taxonomy places the organism in Eukaryota, Metazoa, Chordata, Aves, Passeriformes, Cisticolidae.
GAGGAAAUGAAACCCAAAUUCAUUCUCAAGGGCGUUGAAAGCUGCAGCUCGCGUAGCAACUCUCCCCAAACAAUGACGAGGGAGCUGGAGGGGAGCCAGGGCUCGGCAGGACCGGCAGAAGCGGCUACCGAGACCCUUCCUGUUCGUUUUAUAUAGAAAGGCUGGGGGGGAAACUAAACCAAACCACCCUUCCCACAGCCUUCGGGAAAGGCGCUCCGAGCCCUGGUCUGUCCAAGUGGCAGAGAGGGCCAAGGAUGGCCCCCCAGCUCUGAAGCCUGUGAUGCCACGCAUGCAGACAAGCAACUUAGUGCAUCUGUGAGAUGAAGACUGAAGAAUCCAGAAUUCCUGGUGCUCAGGCACUGAUCUUCCCUUUCCUGUUAUUUUAUUUAAGGGAUUUUUUGUUGCUUGGUUUUAAAGCAUCUACCUGCCUUGCCCUCAGUCAAUGCUUACACUCACCUGAGCAGCUGCUUUUCCUUAGAUACUCACAAAAUUAUCUCUGUUGCUCCAGUUCUCUGACCCUUUAUCUCUAUAACUAGAGCAGCCAGAGGCAAUGAGAAUUGUGUAACCAUCUCCCCACUUCCCAAGUGCUUGGGACAGGUCUGGUAACUUUGAUAGUAUGCCUCAUGGGACACACAGAAUAAAUCUAUUAGAUUAGGGCACUUAUAAAUAAACUGGCUACUUGCUACAGGAAAAAAUGAAAAGGUCUUUAUUUUAGUUACUGGACGAGAGAGGCAAGGCACACAAAUAUUUUGGCUAAUAUUAAACUAUUGGUAAACUAUGAAAAGUAAAUGUCUUUAUUUUAAAAGUUAUGUCAAGCCAUGUAAUGAAAGUUAAACUACUGCUAGAUUGAAAGCGAACAAUUUAAAACCAGAAUGUCAUCUAUAAUCUACUGGUAUACAGAAUUACCCUGCACAGAUGGGGCUCAAAGAGUAGUCGUAUGGCCAGGUGAUAAAGAACUGAAAGUAAUGUUUUUUAUAGCAGAACAGCAUCUGUGAUAACCCACAGCCAUCCUCAGACACCGUGGAAGUUGGCGGCAGAUUCACCGCUAAGAUAUAAAACACAUGACGAGCACGGAGUGACAUCAAAAGGAGCGCAGUGGAGUGGUGUUCAGAUGUCUCCCCUCAAGCCCACACAAAAGCUGCUCUGAGGGCUGCUGUAGCUUAGAACUCUCAAUGAUUCCCUUUUGAUAAGCCUGUUGUUAUCAAAUCCAAGGAGUCUUAUGAGCAGCACCUCCUGACUUUGUUCCUUUGCUAACUGAAGAGCAUGAAGGCUUCUUCUGUUGCCUGAAGGACGUGUGAAGGUUCAGGUUUUAGACCUCAAAUCCUGUUUUUACUUCAGAAGUUGAUUGCACAAGCGGACAGUGAAUGAGUGUCUCCGUUUCCCUUGCGGUCAGAGAAGAUCCUAUUCAUACUGAGUUUACAAGCAAACACUUCCUUUGGUAAGCUUCCCAUGCAAUUCAAUUCAUGUGCGUGCUUUCAGGCUCUGUCCUUGGGUCUGGACUGACAUCAGAACAAGCAUGAGAGGCAGGCUCUCUUCUCAGCCCACCACAGCCUUUUCUGCAGUGCUUUGAAAUGAUGAAACACACUGUGUUUUCUGCACACUGCUGCAGUCCUGUCAAGUCCCUGGGAUUAUUCAUGCAUCAAGAGGCUAAGCACAUACAUGGGUAUCUACUGGAUGAUGUACACCCGUUCCAGAAUUUUACUUGCUUAACAAUCAAUCUAAUGUUUUUGCUCUUUAUAGUUACUGGCUGGGAGCCUAGAAUCUGCUGGCACCUACACGCAGGAUUCUCCUCUCAGCAUUCUGUGAUCACAUCAGGUGUUUGAAAUAUUAUGUAUUAACAAAAAGUACUUUAUGACCAGCAAAUAAAUUAUUAUUUAUGGAAGACUUGAAAUUUGCAGUCAGUACUAGUCUGUACCUGCAGUGAGGAACCAUCAGCUUAAGGCUUUGGCUGUAGUAACAGAAAGGAAGACCUGUCCUUGAGAUAUUGUAACAUUUUCCACUCCAGGAAGCCCUUUUCUAAGUGCAUCUUCUUCACGGUAUAACAGAGCACUAUCCAUUAGGCAAAUGUUUAGUUAAUGGACACAGCAGGAUCUAUACCUGAAGAGUUUUAGGGAAGGUGAAGAUUAAGAUUCACUUGAUAUGGCAGUGAAACUUAAUAAAGUUGCACAGUAAAUUCUAAGCUAGCUCUGGCCACAAUACUUGAGAAAAAUGUCAUGAAGUACUUGUGACCACAGGUAGGUAAGACCUUUGUCAUCAGCCACUCAUGAGGAAACAUGAGUAUCCAAGAGGACAUUGUCUAAAAUAAGGCAGUGUGUUGGCCUUGGCUGUUGAGUCAUCAGUAUCACUUCCUGCAGCCCCUGCUUUUGCUCUGGGUAUUUCUCAAGGGAGCACUGACUUAGUCUUUUUGAUUCUUCUAGAAUGAAUAAGAUCACAGCUCCAGAGCAGUAAUGAUGAAUAUGUCCUUGAUUCAGAGGAAUGUACACUCCUUUUAGCACAAGUGUGCUAAAUCUUCCAUGAGAUGCACCUGAUUAGUUUUUAUCUUUAUUCGUCAUGGUUUCACUGAUUUGAAAACUUCAGACUUUCUAGUUGUAAAAUGGAGAAUUGACAGGAAGCAUCUGUUCAAGUGAGAGAGUGAGCUGUGUUAAUGGCUUGUGCCUCAGAGUACCACUGAAAGCUGUUGUAUGUGGAUCUCUCUUGCCUUUUCUUUAAUUCAGUAUUUGCCUUGACAUUUCUUUAAUCCCACAAAAUACUAUGUGGAACUUCUCCAGCAGAGACAGAUCCUUCUCAGCUACACUGAAGUUGGCUGCAUUUGUAAAGCACACCUUACGGAAAAAGAAAAAAAAAAACACCUGACCUCUGAAUUUCUUUUUAAAAAUAUUAUUGCAAAAUUUCUGACGUCAGACAAUGAGACACAAAUUACCCGGUGAACUGUUAACAUAUGCCUGUUUACAUAUGAUAUCUUAUAGCCAAAGCAGACUAAGAUUUGAAGGUUUAACUGCUGUUGAGUUUCCACUUCUGUGAAUCAUACAGAUCAUACAGCUUAUUCAUCACAGGCACUUAUUUUUAUUCUUUAACUCUUUCAAGCUUCUUCUUCCCAGAGCAGAGUUUAGGGGGAAUGUGGGACACAUGGGAACAGAGAGAUCACAACUGCACAACAACAACAAACCCUCAACUUUGCAAAUGAAAGAGCAAAGAGCUGCCAUUAACUGCAGCCACCCCAGUGAAUCAGUAGUGGUUUUAUCUUGUACCAGGUGAGCUGACAGGCUCACAAGCCUUCCCCGGCUGCCAAGGCGAGUCUGUCCUUCCACCUAGUUAAGUGCCAGCUGCAAUGGAUGCUGAUGGCCAACCCUGGAAUCUUUCAAUUUAAGGUGGAAAAUUAUUUAUAAGAACCAACAAGAGAGAACCAGGCAUGACAAAAUCAACAGGAUGGCUCAAGUUCCAGGUUCAAAGAAAAAAAAAUACCAUUCAUCAUACUAGGAUUCCUUGGAUGCUAUGUUAUAGUUUAAAUUCAGAAAUGCCAAACGUUUUGGUGAGAACUUCAUUGAUUUCAGUAAACGCAGGCAAUUUAUUCUAGCACUUGAAUCUUUGUGGUGCAUCACUGAUUCUAAUGGGAUUCAAGUACUCUCACCAGCAACCCUGACACAAGUGAAUGAGUACCUGUCUUUUUCUGGAUAACAUGGCCAUAUUUUAAAAGAGGCAUCUCUGCUGACAAAAGAAAGAAACCUACUUCUAUUUAAAUACAUAUGCCUAUUCAUCUCAGAUGUGAUUGUUAAUAAAGCUAGGCAGGUGAGUGCUGCCAAAAAUCAGUCCAUUUCUUUCAGGUGAAACCAAGAAGGAUUUUGGAACUUAGGCUGCACUUCACUUGCUGUUCAGGUUCUCUGAUUCACUGACACUGUCUGGCUCAGGCUAGCAAAGGAGAAAAGAAAGAUGAUGUAUUUUGAAGCAGGAAUAUGAACAUCCAAAAAUACCUUUCCUCCUGGGGUGGCCAUAAGUGACUAUGUUCUUUUCAUUUAAAGUGUUGCUUCAGAUUUGUUUGGUUUUUCCUCCCAGCUGCAUCAUCCUAAGCAGACAGUUCACCUCAUUAGCUGUGGAUUAGCUAACAGAGGCUGAGUGCAGCACUGUGAUGGGUCAAGCCUCUUUUUCACGUAGGACAACAAGGUGUAACCAAGACAGCAAUCUUCCUCCCUGCAUUACUCACUGGAACACGAGGGCAACGACCCAUAUCAGGAACUGCAGCAAUCCAAGGCUAUACUGGUACAAAUGCCACAGGUAGCAAACCAAACCUGCUGCCACCGGUUUGUUGGUAGGAAUCUGGCUAUAAUUUACCAUUUAUAAUGUUAUGUGUUAUUGGAAGGCACACUCAAGCAACCCAGACACCUACACAAACUCCAUUUGAGGUGCAACACUUUUGGCCAUGGAAAAUGUAUGUACAUCUUUGCAUCUGGAAACUUGGGAGGCUGGUUAUCACUAGGGAUUGAAUUAGAUCCAAGAGGACAAUGUUAAUGCACCUCUGCCAGAAACUGCAGAGCCUGUUUAACCAAUGCAAGUUUCUGUUUCUGACUGUUCUGCUUAGAAAUGGUUCAAGAAUAAAUUUAACCACAAACUUAAAGAUGAAACAAAAAGGAGAUUCCCUCCCCCUCCCUGUUUUGUGUUUGUUUUUUUUAAUGCUAUUGUUAAUAUCCUCCCUUGUGGUAUGUAACUGAAAAUCAGUGACCCACCUUAAAAACUGUAGGUUUGAGCCCUGAGGUAUCUUAAAAGGGACCUGAUUUUACACAUAAAAAUACAAACAAGUAGAUACUGCUCAACCACCCCCAGUCCCUUUCAGCUGUUUCAGCUGGGCUUCCGUGGCAGAAGCACCCACGCUCACUGCUGAGCUGGGAAAAGAUGGGCCUCGGGGGUUAGACCACAUAAUGAAAAUUAGCCAGCCAAUUCCCAUGAAGUGUUUUGAACACAAAAGCCCAGUGCAACUAAUAAUGGUUCAGUUCUCUUUUUCAGCUAUGAAAUCAGCUUGCAGAUUAAUAUUGUUCAAUUACAAAAUAACAAUUUUCAGCUUGAAGUGGUUUGUGCUCUUAAGUGCAAUUGGGGUUAAUAAUGGUCUAUGAAAGGAGAGCUGUUAGCAAACAGUAACCCAGCACAUGGGUACCUUAGCUACAUUUUACAUGAAAUGUCAGAUUGUAAAUUCAGAAAAAUUACAUAGGAAAAUACCAUCUAGACCACUAAGGAUCCCAAAGCUCUAAGAAACCUGUAUUUUCUGCUUACAUAUGCCAAGAGAUAAUUGCCACCUGACUGCCAAGGCAGCUCCUUUUACCUGUGGCUAUUUCUAACUCAUGUAUAUUUAUGCCUUAUCUGCCUGAUGUGUUCAGGUCAAUUUAGGCAAUAAAUAGUGUCACAAAGUUUAAGUUCUUUUAUGGAUCUGUGCCCAAAAGCAUAGAUAUCUGAAGCUUAUAAAAUGAGAUUAACUGCUUUUCAAUCCAAGGCAUAUGGUUACAAUAUAUUUGUACUAUCUAAAAUUUAGUUAUUGGAAUACCUCUGUAAAUAAUUGUAGUCUUCCAGCCUACAAUAUUAAAGUAAAGCCCUCUGGGACCCCCACAUGCAAAAAGCCCAAAUAAAAUGAUUUUCAGUUUCAAAAGAAAAGCAUAAAUCAGGGCACAGAGCUCAAAAAUUAUAAAAACAAGGCCAAGAUCCUUAAAGCUGAAUGGUUGUUCUCUGUGGCCACACAGAGGUAUAAGUGUGCAAAACUUUCUGAAAAUUCAUCUCCGGGGUUUUUGUUAAAACAUGUGCAUGGUCCCAAGCACUGAAAAUCCUUGGUCACA